GGGAUCGCAAGACCUUGCGCUCUUUGAGCGGCCGAUGUCUGAUUAGCUAGUUGGUGAGGUAAAGGCUUACCAAGGCGACGAUCAGUAGCUGGUCUGAGAGGACGACCAGCCACACUGGGACUGAGACACGGCCCAGACUCCUACGGGAGGCAGCAGUGGGGAAUUUUGGACAAUGGGGGAAACCCUGAUCCAGCCAUGCCGCGUGAGUGAAGAAGGCCUUCGGGUUGUAAAGCUCUUUCAGCCGGAACGAAACGGUCACGGCUAAUACCUGUGACUACUGACGGUACCGGAAGAAGAAGCACCGGCUAACUACGUGCCAGCAGCCGCGGUAAUACGUAGGGUGCAAGCGUUAAUCGGAAUUACUGGGCGUAAAGCGUGCGCAGGCGGUUUUGUAAGUCAGAUGUGAAAUCCCCGGGCUUAACCUGGGAACUGCGUUUGAAACUACAAGGCUAGAGUGUGGCAGAGGGGGGUGGAAUUCCACGUGUAGCAGUGAAAUGCGUACAGAUGUGGAGGAACACCGAUGGGCGAAGGCAGCCCCCUGGGUUAACACU
RNAcentral lists this ribosomal RNA (551 nucleotides) under uncultured bacterium. RNAcentral describes it as "bacterial SSU rRNA". It matches the Rfam family "Bacterial small subunit ribosomal RNA", at positions 200 to 741 of the family's 1533-position model. The record is from RNAcentral.